This 74-nucleotide transfer RNA is filed under the name Dehalococcoidia bacterium. RNAcentral's name for it is "tRNA-Gln". It matches the Rfam family "tRNA". From Rfam's summary of the family: Transfer RNA (tRNA) molecules are approximately 80 nucleotides in length. Their secondary structure includes four short double-helical elements and three loops (D, anti-codon, and T loops). Further hydrogen bonds mediate the characteristic L-shaped molecular structure. tRNAs have two regions of fundamental functional importance: the anti-codon, which is responsible for specific mRNA codon recognition, and the 3' end, to which the tRNAs corresponding amino acid is attached (by aminoacyl-tRNA synthetases). tRNAs cope with the degeneracy of the genetic code in two manners: having more than one tRNA (with a specific anti-codon) for a particular amino acid; and 'wobble' base-pairing, i.e. permitting non-standard base-pairing at the 3rd anti-codon position. The record is from RNAcentral. Lineage: Bacteria; Bacillati; Chloroflexota; Dehalococcoidia.
UGCCGAGUAGUGUAACGGUAGCACAACGGAUUCUGGAUCCGUUUGCCAAGGUUCGAAUCCUUGCUCGGCAGCCA